AGAACCACAUAUUUAAACCAAGAGUGAUAAAAGAUAUCAUUUUCUACCAGUGAAACAAUUUAUAACCAGGCUUUUCUUAAAAAACACUUCAGCUCAGAGACACACUCCAGUGUGGUGUUGCACAGUCAGUGCAUUCUCUCCUACUUUUAGCACCCUAAGUACUAUUGUAAGGCAGGACAGCUGACAAAUUAUGUUUGACUUACGUUCAAUAUUUCCACCAACUCAAAAGGUUAUCCCUGCAGCUCUGGCAGCCUUAAGGUGAAUCACAUCCUCUCAGUUUAACAAAACCCUCUCAUCCAUAUGCUGUUUUCAUAACGGUCCACUUGAAGAAACACUGACUGACUGCCAGUGAGAAGUCCUCACUGUGUUGACUAUUAUUCUACUCUCUACAGGGUGGGCUAUUUCAUUGGAGGUAUCAAAUGAUCACAUAUUCUGCUUUCCCUUGAGUGGAAGUAGUGGUGAAGGCAUCAAUGAGCCACUGUCGAGGUGAAGGACGCUCACACGCAACCAAAAAGAGGCAGCUGUCAGUCAUCCACAAGAUUAAACCACCUCAGGAAUACUUCAUCUUUGGCUUGGAAAGCGUAAAAAUAGGAGAGUCUGUAAAGAUCUGCUGCAGCUGCUGCUGCUGCACCACAAACCAGAGGCAACACCACCAGCUGACUACAGGACGGGCCUUUGGGAGAGAGAAUAAAAGAACUGAGGCAGAUGGCAGAUCUAAGCAAGGUAGAUCACAGGCAACGACAUGAGUACAG
Solea senegalensis (Senegalese sole) is the source of this 752-nucleotide long non-coding RNA. RefSeq lists it as uncharacterized. NCBI's taxonomy places the organism in Eukaryota, Metazoa, Chordata, Actinopteri, Pleuronectiformes, Soleidae. The transcript has 3 exons. The record is from RefSeq and is a predicted model, not a curated record.